AUGGAUGAGGCAAGUCUUUUGUCUCCGUUUCAACAACAACAACAACAAAAACCACUUGGCAUAUUUGCUUUUGCAAUUUGUUCUUCGUUGGAUCUCCUGGCCGUUACUGAAGAAUGGUCUAACAGAGUCUGCAGCACAGCUGUAGCUUGGAAACUUAAGAUGCACUUUGCGCAUAAAACUUCCAACACUUUCAACAUUCAGCAGCAGCUGUUUCUCAUGGUGACAUCGAUUCUAAUGGGCCCGGAGGACCGGGUUGAGGACACCCUGCUGGAUGGUGCCCUGGUGCGUGGGCUCCAGUGCCUUGAGGGCCUGGGUUCCCGUGUUUCACCUGCAGCUUCUACCUCCUCUGCUGCUGUUGCUUGCUCCAAGAUUGCUUGCUCUGCUGCUGUCCCCGUUGGUGAUCAUACUGAGCUGGGACUUGCAAAUGAUGCCCUGUGUUUCCCAAUGGAAUUCGGUGGACAAAUGUUGGUCGUCAUCAAGGGACAAAACUUCUUCUGGGUUUUAAGAUUCGAAGCCGAGAGCUUCAUGCUUUUACAUUUGAAGAGCAUCGGCAACAAUGCCAUCUUCAUUGGUCAUCAUAGGUGCCUUGCUGUGGACGAUGAUAUGUUCCCAUCAAUCGAGGCAAAAUUGCUCCUUGGAUUCUAUGAUUCACCCCUUGUACUCUUUCCUUUUGUGCUCAUUGCUGCAGAAUGGGAGUUCAGAAUAGUAGCUGCAACUUGGAACAUAGUCCAGACUGACCACUUUGUGAGAGUGAUCCAUGGAAUGGCCCUACUACUGGGGGGCUUGGUGACUUCUUCGGGUCCUGAUUCGCUCAACCGGUGGCCUGUGGAAAUGUUGUAUGUCAUGGCCAGGGAGGGAUCAGAACAGGUUUGUUCUCUGUGGAUUUCUGGGCUGUUACUGAAGCAUGGUUUAACACAGUUUGUAGCACACUUGGCCUUACAUCUGUUUUACUUGUAUACGUACAGAGCUAGUCCAAGCAACACAUUUAAAAUGAUCAUGGAGUUGAAUGUUGGAGCUGUUCUGAUAAAGAUGAAGUGGUACAUAUGGGAAGAGAACAAGGAUAAUUUGGCAGCCGAGGGAGCUAAAAGCAGGGUUCCUAAUCCCUACGGGGAAUUUUGGAUGCCACUUAAAAUCCACGGGAAGCCCUCCACCAUUUGGUUGCACGAGAAUAUCCCCGUCCAGCAAAAAAAGAGAGGAAACAACAAGAAAAUUGAACACGACCUAAAGCAACAACUUAGGCUUUUGUUACUUAACCUAAAUGGCCGAAAAAAAUAUAAAGGGAAAGUUAAAAUAACGACCAAACAGGAAGGCUCAGCCCGUCUCGGCGAGAUAGAGACAGAGAGAGGAGGAGGACAUUCUCAAAAAAGAGAGAGAGAGAGAGGAGGAGGAGGAAGGAAGGCCUACCCUACCACUACGGCACUACCUCUCCGCCGCCGUCACUGCCACUGCCACCACUCCUCUUCCACUGCUCGAAACGAGAGCUCCCAGCCGGCGGCCAUGGCGGAUCCUCCUGCUCUCCUCCCUGGCCUCCCCGAUGAGAUCUCCAUCUGGGAGAUCCUCCUCCGCCUGCCCCCAAAAUCCCUCCUCCGCUGCCGCGCCUGGCGAGGCGCCACCUCCACCCGCGACUUCCUCCUCGCCCACCACGCCCGCCAGCCCACCCUCCCCGUCCUCCGUGGCUACAACAACGUCAACGGCCUGUCCCUGGAUGUCACCCUCUUGGACCACCGGGCGGGGGUCGCCGCCGCCGACCGGCUCCAGUCCGUCGCGCUGGAGAGCUCCUGCGACGACCUCCUUGCCCUCUCCAUCGACCACAACUACUUUUGCAUCUACAACCCAGCAACACUCCACUACCGGCGACUACCGACUAUUGCUCUGGCACCUAAGGCUAAACCUCAGGAUGGCGCCUACAUCUACACGUUAGGCUCCAGCCAGCCGCCUAGGCGCCUAGACAUACCGUGCCCCCAUGUGGACCAAGUGAUAUGGGCCUCCGGGUUUAUCAUGUUCCAUGGUAGCCUCCAUUGGUGCAUAGACACCAUGAUAAUUGCAUUUGACACCACCACCGAGUCGUUCCGGCAGAUGCGCAUUCCGGUUUAUCCUGACGGCGCUGACCUGUUUGAGAUGGAUGGAAUGCUCAGCAUGUCCAUCUUCAAUGAUGCAACGACAUCCAUUGAUAUCUGGAUGACACGGGACUAUGAAAGUGAGAUCUGGGCCUUAAAAUACCAGGUUGAAUUGCCGGUUGCAGAGCUUACCAAUCAGUUUGGAAAAUUCGACGAACUUUGGUGGCUGGUUGUCAUGUCUUCGGAAGGUGAUGUGCUUGUGCUGGUCAAAUUUGGUGAGUGGGUACUUCAGAUUGACGUCGAUGGAAAGUUGGUUGCUAGUAUACAGUGCGGAGACCUCGGUCCUACUCGACUUUGA
This 2415-nucleotide ribosomal RNA is filed under the name Triticum aestivum (bread wheat). Its description in RNAcentral is "partial small subunit ribosomal RNA". The record is from RNAcentral. Lineage: Eukaryota; Viridiplantae; Streptophyta; Magnoliopsida; Poales; Poaceae.